UUGGGUAACACUCUGGUAAGGCUGCUGGGGUGUGCGCCCUGGGGACCCCUACUCUUGGGCAGGGGCAGAGCAGAAGCCUCUGCCCGUCUGUUGCUUUGGUUUCCCGGAUCCUCCUCCAAGGUGGUCUCUCCGCCCACUUCCCGCCCUGCUCCUAGGCCCCUCUUGUGCCCUGCGCCCUGAAGCGCUGCCUGCUCGGGUCCUGCCUCUGUGCUCUUCUCUCCCGGCGCCCUCAGGUCCCGCCAGGCCUGGCUCUCAGAGUCCUCAGAGCACCUUGUCCAGAGGGACCGCAUUCUCCUCAGUAAAGCUACUCCACUCCCACCUUCACGAGGCAGCCAGGCCCCAGGUGCCGUGUCCUUUCACAGCCACAGCAGCUUCUGGAAAAAGAGAACAGGUCUGCUGUUUGUUCACCCUGUAAGUAGAGCAGCGUCCGGGUUACUGCAGGUGCUCUAAAGGUCUGCAGCAAAAAGGUCAUGCUACUGCUGCUGCUACUGCUAAGUCGAUUCAGUCGUGUCCGACUCUGUGUGACCCCAUAGACGGCAGCCCACCAGACUCCUCUGUCCCUGGGAUUCUCCAAGCAAGAAUACUGGAGUGGGUUGCCAUUUCCUCCUCCAAAAAAGGUCAUAUAGUCUUCCUUUUUUGGUGCUACUGGCAACGUUUUUUUAAAAAAGGUUUUGGGCCAGAUGCUGGAGGACCUAGAUCAAAUUCUGUGGCCAUCUGUUGUAGAUGUAAAACCAAGUGCAAUACGGUUUCUCUAAAAAUAGUAUAUUUUCCCAUACAGAAUAAAGGCAUAUGUUUGUCUGAAUCUGGCAGCAUUUCCAGAGAAGCUUUCUUUUCAAGGGGCCAAAGAGAUUAUAGGAAGACAGAAUGCACUUUCAGCUAGCAACUGCUGGAUAAAGUUUCCAUUGAUCGGCUGCCUCUCCCCGGCAUGUGAACAAAUGUAGAGUCACAACAAUAACAGACUUAUCUGGAAUUAGCAGGAACUGAGGCAGGUGUGCAAUGGUCUGGACCCGGAAUAAAAUGAACAGAGGGAAUCCACGGAAAACUAAAUGCUCUGAUACUUUGAUCUACUUCACGUACUUAAUUAUCCUUCCAUUUGUCAGCAGCAAUCGAAGAUCAUUAUCUUUCGCUCUCCAUUCAGGCACUUCAGAAAUGACUGAGUCUCUCAUGUGACCAUGGAACAGAAGCUUGCCUCUUCCCAGGGACACAUCUCCAGUCUUCUGAGCACCUCCCUCGUGUGGAGCUCCAGGAUGUCGAGGUUGGAAGGGGUUCGG
Dama dama (fallow deer) is the source of this 1271-nucleotide long non-coding RNA. RefSeq lists it as uncharacterized. NCBI's taxonomy places the organism in Eukaryota, Metazoa, Chordata, Mammalia, Artiodactyla, Cervidae. The record is from RefSeq and is a predicted model, not a curated record. The transcript has 6 exons.